CUCCAACAGAGCAACAGACUGAUCCUGGGGCAAAAAGUCCAUGUUGGUCCCAAUGCCCAGCUAUGGACAGGCUACUGGGCAAUCACCACCAGCCCAUGCUUUUCUGCAUCUAGACCACUGGCUGAAUUAGAAGAGACUGGGAGAAACCAUGAUUGGAAGGAAUUGAAUCUUGGUCCUACAACAGUGCUACAAAGGGGUUCAUCCACAAGAAAUGUUUAAGAGUGAGCAACUAAAAACUUUAACAUUGACACAACAUCCAAGCAUGUGAUUAGCGACUUGUCUCUCCAAACAAGGUAGAAGCCAGCUUGAAUGUCUUCUCUCCUGUGAAAGCAGCAGCAGCUGUUUUGAUAGAAGUCUAAAGAUCUCAAGAUUCUUGAUCAAUGCAGCCUUCUUGAACUUCCUAACACCACAGAAGGACAUUCAUUCUUUGUGAUCUCAAACAUCAGCUCCAUUUCACCGCUGCAAAGAGAGAUGUCUACCAGAUGGUGAUACCACAUAAAUAUCAUAGACAUCAUAUUAGAUCACUAAUAAUCUCAAAGUAACAGAAAGAGACAGGGUCCAGAGAUGUGCUCUGCACCUUAUAUAUGUUGUCAUCUUGAGGGAUCCUCUCAGUAACACUUCACAACAAGGAUAAUUAAUUCCAUUCCAUAAAAGGAGGAACUAAGGUUUAGUGACUUAAGGAACUUGCCCAAGGUGGCAAGCAUCUAAACAGCAGAACGUAGAUACAAAUCCAGAAUCGCUUUGCUCUGAAAACCCCCAAGUUUUUCCGUCACACCCCACAUGGCCCUGGGCUAUUAGUGCCUUUGACUUUUACCAAUAGAACAACUUCACAAAACUUGCACCCUCAUAAUAUCUCUUAUAAACAAAAUACCCUGAGGUGAUUUCCUAGAAAUAUAUUAUUGCAUCAUACUCUGUUACCAUUUAUAACCCAGAAAAUGUCCUACAGCCUUUACUCCUAAUAAAGGGGGAAAAAAACAGAGGUACAGGUUCCCUGAUUCCCAAAUAACAUUUAACCCCCCCAGGACAUUGCCGGAGUGCAGCCAAACCAAUCCCCGCCCCCAUCUAGCUCACCCCCCAUCCCAGGGCUUUCUGAAAAGAGGGAACUGCCAAGGCCAAGUUACUCUUCUAAAGCUUUUCUUAUUGUAGCUGUUUUAUUAUUCAUAUACUUUUAAUAGCAUCUCAGUAAUUUUUUUAUAGACCCGCUAUAGCUUAAGUUAAUGCUAAGGACAUUACAAGUAGCUCCCUUUUAAAUUUUUAACCAGAAUAAAAGUUACAAAAACCACAUAUACUCCAGAAACUGUAAGAUCUUGUACAUAAACAAGACAGUUUUACAAGGCAACUUACAGAUUUUAGGAGGUCCCACAGGUAUUUGCUGCCCAUUACAACUACAAAAUCCAAAGCCUUAGUGACCAUCUAUCUAUAGGCAAGUAUGUGAUGUUUUCUGGCUUAAAGGCCAUUUUCAGGAAGUGUCAUAGAAGAAGAUUCUAUUUCUCUCCUUUUCAUUAGACAAGAAAAUCAAAUGUUUUUGGCAGCUGGGGUUGGGGGUAGGGAGGAGGUACCAAACAGGAAGACACUAGAAGGGGCAACAUUAUGCAAUUAUUGAGCCAACCUACUUAAAUUCCCCAAGUGGAUGUGCCUGGUUUAGAAGAGGUUAAUGGUUAUCUUUUAUUGAAGGGAAAUGAGUUUUGUUAAAUGUAUUGAUAGUGCUAACUUAUUAAUAAUUGAAGAACAGACCUUCUCCACUGCCCCAUUAGAUAUGCUCUGUCAUAUACACGAUGAUGAAUUUAAUGCCCCUGCUUUUAUAUAUAGGAGCCAAUAGUGGAAUUCCUCUCUAAUCUAGAAGGUUGGGCUCCUGAAGAAUCUUCCUGAUAGGAGAAUCCCUGGCUGUAGAGAGUAAUCUUAUGAGAAAAGCAAGGUGGAAGGAAUAAGGUCCUGAGUGAAUCUCUGACAAAUAUUUUCAUAUUUACUAAUACACAAUGAUAAAGCCAGCACAAUGCAGUCAAUAAUGACAUUUUUACACAUCUUAAAUUAGUAAUAGUGGCCUCUAUACAGUUAAUCUUCAUACCUCAUCCCUUGACUCCAUGGAUAUUUAUUAAGAUAUCCAUCCCUCAAGUUUCAAAGGGAUGCUAGUGAAUUCAUUUUAUCUUUAUAGAUAAAUGACAAGCUAGGAGGCAGCUUUUCCUGUGUUUAGUUUUCCAGCCAAAUGUCUUUCUACAAUUCAGAUUUUACAAUUCAGAGCUGUGGCUAUCACCCCCCAUGCCCCUCCCCCAGCCCCCUGCCUCAAAUCCAAAACAAAAGACUGCCUGCCUUUGGUCCCAGAGAUGCAGGGAUUUCUUGCACAUGGAAAACAUCUUAGAAUGCCUGAAUUGGCUUAUGCAUCCCAGGUUAGGAAAUUGUUCUUCAUUCCUCUCCUAUCCCAGAAUGAUAGCCCCAAUGUCAGCAUACUCAUUGGUCCUCCUGCCUUCUCAUCAUACAGCAAUAGUCCACCUCAGGAAUCCAUGAUUCCUUUCCUUUCGGCUUCCUUCCACUUCAUGGCAAAAACUCCAACUUCACUUACUGUGAUAGUUUUAUGUGUCAACUUGGCCAGGCUAUAGUGCCCAGUUACUCAUUCAAACACUAACUGAGGUGUUGCUGUGAAGGUAUUUUGUAAACGUGGCUAACAUCUGCAAUCAUGAUUGACCUAAGUGAAGGAGAUCACCCAACGAUAAUGUAAGUGGCCCUCAUCCAAUCAGUUAAAGGCCUUGAAAGAAGAGAGAAGAAACAUUUUCUGCUAAAGACAGCAGCAUCACCUCUUGCCUGAGUGUCCAGCUUGUUGGUCUGGACUAACAGAUUUCAGAUUUUGAACUUAGCAGCCCCUACCCCCACAAUUCUGUGAGCCAAUUCCUUAAAAUAAAGCUAAGAAGGAAAGAAAGAAAGGAAGAAAGGAAGAAA
Long non-coding RNA from Zalophus californianus (California sea lion), 2931 nucleotides. RefSeq lists it as uncharacterized. The transcript has 3 exons. NCBI's taxonomy places the organism in Eukaryota, Metazoa, Chordata, Mammalia, Carnivora, Otariidae. The record is from RefSeq and is a predicted model, not a curated record.